GAAAUCAGGAAGCUCAAGAGCUCAAGGCUUACCUUUUAGCAUAAAUAGGAUGGAUCAGGAAAAGAAACAGUAGAAGACUUUCAGGAUAAAAGGCACAUUCAGUUUCCAGCUCCAUCCAGCCUAAAAGAUACAUGAAAGUUUGAACUGCUUCUCAGGUCACAAACACAAUUCACUGCUGUGGAUCUCCUUUCUCAAGAGAAGCAGCUGUUCACAAUUCUUUGCCUGGAGCAAUGAGAUCUGGACUCCUGCUUCUAAUAUAGCAACAAAUCUUGAUCCAGCUGGUGGCUUCUUCUCAACAAUGAA
Gavialis gangeticus (Gharial) is the source of this 303-nucleotide long non-coding RNA. RefSeq lists it as uncharacterized. The transcript is spliced from 3 exons. NCBI's taxonomy places the organism in Eukaryota, Metazoa, Chordata, Crocodylia, Gavialidae. The record is from RefSeq and is a predicted model, not a curated record.